AACGCUGGCGGCAUGCCUAAGACAUGCAAGUCGAACGAGAUGGCCUUUGAAAACUGCGUACUUGUACAAAGUUGGAUUAAGAUUUCCAUCUAGUGGCAGACGGGUGAGUAAUACAUAAGUAAUCUACCUCAGAGACUGGGAUAACGUUUGGAAACGAACGCUAAUACCGGAUGAUUCUUCUUACACAAGUAAGAAUGCUAAAAGGAGCGUUUGCUUCACUUUGAGAUGAGCUUAUGGCGUAUUAACUAGUUGGUGGGGUAAUGGCCUACCAAGGUGACGAUGCGUAGCCGAACUGAGAGGUUGAUCGGCCACAUUGGGACUGAGACACGGCCCAAACUCCUACGGGAGGCAGCAGUUAGGAAUAUUCGUCAAUGGGGGAAACCCUGAACGAGCAAUGCCGCGUGAGUGAUUGACGGUCUUUAUGAUUGUAAAACUCUGUUGUAAGGAAAGAACCCUUAUCAUAGGAAAUGAUGAUAAGCUGACGGUACCUUACCAGAAAGCCCCGGCUAACUACGUGCCAGCAGCAGC
This 528-nucleotide ribosomal RNA is filed under the name uncultured bacterium. RNAcentral describes it as "bacterial SSU rRNA". It matches the Rfam family "Bacterial small subunit ribosomal RNA", at positions 32 to 518 of the family's 1533-position model. The record is from RNAcentral.